This 342-nucleotide ribosomal RNA is filed under the name uncultured soil bacterium. RNAcentral's name for it is "bacterial SSU rRNA". It matches the Rfam family "Bacterial small subunit ribosomal RNA", at positions 8 to 352 of the family's 1533-position model. The record is from RNAcentral.
AGAGUUUGAUCAUGGCUCAGAUUGAACGCUGGCGGCGUGCUUAACACAUGCAAGUCGAUCGGUAACGCGGGGGCAACCCUGGCGACGAGAGGCGGACGGGUGAGGAACGCUUGGGAAUCUGCCYWUCAGCGGGGGACAACCCGGGGAAACUCGGGCUAAUACCGCAUACGCUCYACGGAGGAAAGCCGGGGACCGCAAGGCCUGGCACUGAWRGAUGAGCCCAAGYCGGAUUAGCUAGUUGGCGGGGUAACGGCCCACCAAGGCGACGAUCCGUAGCUGGUCUGAGAGGACGAUCAGCCACACCGGAACUGAGACACGGUCCGGACUCCUACGGGAGGCAGC